RNAcentral lists this ribosomal RNA (426 nucleotides) under uncultured bacterium. Its description in RNAcentral is "bacterial SSU rRNA". It matches the Rfam family "Bacterial small subunit ribosomal RNA", at positions 355 to 773 of the family's 1533-position model. The record is from RNAcentral.
UGGGGAAUAUUGGACAAUGGGCGCAAGCCUGAUCCAGCAAUGCCGCGUGUGUGAAGAAGGCCUUCGGGUUGUAAAGCACUUUUAUCAGGAGCGAAAUCUGCAUGCUUAAUACGUGUGCAGUCUGACGGUACCUGAGGAAUAAGCACCGGCUAACUUCGUGCCAGCAGCCGCGGUAAUACGAAGGGUGCAAGCGUUAAUCGGAAUUACUGGGCGUAAAGGGUGCGUAGGCGGUUCGUUAAGUCUGUCGUGAAAUCCCCGGGCUCAACCUGGGAAUGGCGAUGGAUACUGGCGAGCUAGAGUGUGUCAGAGGAUGGUGGAAUUCCCGGUGUAGCGGUGAAAUGCGCAGAUAUCGGGAGGAACACCAGUGGCGAAGGCGGCGCUCUGGGCCGGAACUGACGCUGAGGAGCGAAAGCGUGGGUAGCAAAC